GUGGGGAAUAUUGGGCAAUGGGCGCAAGCCUGACCCAGCAACGCCGCGUGAGGGAAGAAGGCUUUCGGGUUGUAAACCUCUGUCCUUGGUGACGAAACAAAUGACGGUAGCCAAGGAGGAAGCCCCGGCUAACUACGUGCCAGCAGCCGCGGUAAUACGUAGGGGGCGAGCGUUGUCCGGAAUUACUGGGCGUAAAGGGUGCGUAGGUGGCCUUUUAAGUUGGAUGUGAAAGACCCGGGCUUAACUUGGGGGGUGCAUCCAAAACUGGGAGGCUAGAGUGCAGGAGAGGAAAGCGGAAUUCCUAGUGUAGCGGUGAAAUGCGUAGAUAUUAGGAGGAACACCAGUGGCGAAGGCGGCUUUCUGGACUGUAACUGACACUGAGGCACGAAAGCGUGGGGAGCAAACAGGAUUAGAUACCCCGGUAGUCC
This 428-nucleotide ribosomal RNA is filed under the name uncultured bacterium. RNAcentral describes it as "partial 16S ribosomal RNA". It matches the Rfam family "Bacterial small subunit ribosomal RNA", at positions 354 to 796 of the family's 1533-position model. The record is from RNAcentral.